AGUGAACGCUGGCGGUAGGCCUAACACAUGCAAGUCGAACGGCAGCACAGUAAGAGCUUGCUCUUACGGGUGGCGAGUGGCGGACGGGUGAGGAAUACAUCGGAAUCUACUUUUUCGUGGGGGAUAACGUAGGGAAACUUACGCUAAUACCGCAUACGACCUACGGGUGAAAGCAGGGGAUCUUCGGACCUUGCGCGAUUGAAUGAGCCGAUGUCGGAUUAGCUAGUUGGCGGGGUAAAGGCCCACCAAGGCGACGAUCCGUAGCUGGUCUGAGAGGAUGAUCAGCCACACUGGAACGGAGCCACGGUCCAGGCUCCUACGGGAGGCAGCAGUGGGGAAUAUUGGACAAUGGGCGCAAGCCUGAUCCAGCCAUACCGCGUGGGUGAAGAAGGCCUUCGGGUUGUAAAGCCCUUUUGUUGGGAAAGAAAAGCAGCAGGUUAAUACCCCGCUGUUCUGACGGUACCCAAAGAAUAAGCACCGGCUAACUUCGUG
Molecule: ribosomal RNA, 492 nt
Filed under: uncultured bacterium
Lineage: Bacteria
Description: partial 16S ribosomal RNA
Rfam family: Bacterial small subunit ribosomal RNA
Source: RNAcentral